This 203-nucleotide ribosomal RNA is filed under the name Morganella morganii. RNAcentral describes it as "partial 16S ribosomal RNA". It matches the Rfam family "Bacterial small subunit ribosomal RNA", at positions 197 to 388 of the family's 1533-position model. Lineage: Bacteria; Pseudomonadati; Pseudomonadota; Gammaproteobacteria; Enterobacterales; Morganellaceae. The record is from RNAcentral.
CGGACCAAAGCGGGGGACCUCCGGGCCUCGCGCCAUCAGAUGAACCCAUAUGGGAUUAGCUAGUAGGUAAGGUAACGGCUUACCUAGGCGACGAUCCCUAGCUGGUCUGAGAGGAUGAUCAGCCACACUGGGACUGAGACACGGCCCAGACUCCUACGGGAGGCAGCAGUGGGGAAUAUUGCACAAUGGGCGCAAGCCUGAUG